AGCAACCCCCUGGGGUCCCCUUCCACACUGUGGAAGCUUUGUUCUUUCGCUCUUUGCAAUACUUGCUGCUGCUCACUCUCUUUUGGUCCACACUGCCUUUAUGAGCUGUAACACUCACCGGGAACGUCUGCAGCUUCACUCCUGAAGUCAGCGAGACCACGAACCCACUGGAAGGAAGGAACAACUCCAGACGCGCCACCUUAAGAGCUGUAACACUCACCGCGAAGGUCUGCAGCUUCACUCCUGAAGCCAGCGAGACCACGAACCCACAGGGAGGAACGAACAACUCCAGACGCGCCGCCUUAAGAGCUGUAACACUCACCGCGAAGGUCCGCAGCUUCGCUCCUGAGCCAGCAAGACCACGAACCCACCAAAAGGAAGAAACUCCAAACAGAUCUGAACAUCAGAAGGAACAAACUCCGGACACGCCACCUUUAAGAACUGUAACACUCACCUUGAGGGUCGGCAGCUUCAUUCUUGAAGUCAGUGAGACCAAGAACCCACCAAUUCCGGACACAGGGAGCUAGCCACUCCGUGGUUUCUGCUCUGCUGAGAACUGAGCAGACUUUGGGACUACCAGCUCCAGAGAGGAGCUACCCACUGCAGAGUUCCUCCAGGCUGUUCAUUUUUCCUCCCCUGUCCUCUCUUUGCAGAUGGGUAAUCAUGUCUCUGCACCACGGGACACUCCCCUCUGAGGCAUAAAAGUUUAAUUUUUGGCCUGGCACGGUGGCUUAUGCCUGUAAUCCCAGCACUUUGAGAGGCCGAGGCGGGCGGAUCACCUGAGGUCAGUAGUUCGAGACCAGCUUAGCCAACAUAGUGAAACCCAGUCUCUACUAAAAAUACAAAAAUUAGCUGGGCAUGGUGGCACGGGCCUGUAAUGCCAGCUACUCGGGAGGCUGAGGCAAGAGAAUCGCUUGAACCCAGGAGGCGGAGGUUACAGUGAGCCGAGAUCGCGCCACUGCACUCCAGCCUGGGUGCAGUGAGACUGCGGCUCAAAAAAAAAGAAUUCUUACCAGUUGAACCUCUGGCUUCUUUCUCUCUGUCUGUGAAAACAUGGUUGUAGAUUCUCUCUCCUCCAUGACUCCAUGACUUCCCUUUUACUGGGAACCUAUGCAUAGGACUCUGAGAGAGAUCUGUCAUUUUCCCCAAAACCAGGCCCCCUGUCAGCAUGAAGCAGUUAGAUAUACCUCUUCAGAGAUGUGAUUGAUGGCAGCGGCAGCCCAUCUGGACCAGCCACUGCCGUGACGCCAUCAGUGUGAGACGUGUAGCUAGGGCUGUGCACUCCACAGAGCUGGUGGGAGCUGGGAAUAGGUGAAAACCCUGCCUCCUUGUGAGUUGGCAGGACGGGAGCCUCCUGUUCCCUGGCUGCUGUUGUGGCCACCGAGCCGCAGCCCUGGAGCCAGGCAUCCCUGUGCUUGGGGAUCAGAGCGAGCAGGAGCAGAUCCUCUCCCUUCUGGGUGCAGCUGCAGCUGCCCAGCCAUGGCUGUGGUCCCGGAAGUCUCUGUGCUCUUGGGAGCUGGGAGGGCCCUCUGCCUCCUGCCCCUUACGCACUCCAGAGUCUCCUCUCUGUUGAGAGCUAAGCAGACAUCAGGACUACCAGCUGCAGAGAGGAGCUACCCACUGUGGGCUUCGUCUCUGCUGAGAGCUGAACACUCACUGGGACGCCCUGCCUAUGGAAACCAGCUGUUCACUCUGGGUCUCCUCUGAGCUGUUCUGUCGCUCAGUAAAGGUCUUCUUCUGCUUACUCGCCCUCCAUUUGUCUGCCUUACCUCAUUCAUCCUGGACACAGGACAAGAACUUGGGACUUGCCGGUAUGGUGGAGCUAAAAUAGCUGUAACACAAACAGGAUUGAAACAUGCCCCUUGCUCGCCACAUUGUGGAUGACAAGAGGGAGGGAAGAAAGGAGAGAAGAUCUGCGACCCUUCGGCAAACCCAGACUUAGGAGAUCGGAGAGCCAAGACUGUGACACCCUUUCUGGGGCUCUGUGGUUCCUGGCGUCUCCAAGCUUCUGGGCACCUCGGCUUUCCCCGGUGCCAGUCGUGGAAGCUGCUUGUGAGUCUUGCUUUGUCACCCAGGCUGGAGUACAGUGGCGUGAUCACAGCUUACUGAAACGUCUGCGUCUCAGGUUCAAGCGAUUUUUCUGCCUCAGCCUCUGGUGUAGCUGGAAUUAUAGUGUUAGCAGUCACUGAUGCUCAAACGUUAUUAUAAUAUGAAACUCGAAUCUAUGUUUAGCAAACGGAAAAAAAGAACAUUUAAAUCUAAUGAAGAUCAAGAACAAUAAUCUUAGGUUAUGCAGACCUCCUUGAUGGCAUCCAGAAGUCUGAUCAGAGGAGGGAUGGACACAGCUUUGACUAGGAGAUCUCACCUCCCGCAUACCGACCUUACUCAUAAAAGCUUCUGGUUAUGUUCAAAGGCAAGUCGGAUUUGAGAAUUUGCCUCUCGCACUCUCUCAUUUUGGCCAAAUCAAAUAAUGCCUUUCUCUCUUCCUAAGCGCUGAUGUAUCAGUGUUUGGCUUAUUGUGCAUUGGGUACUCAAACUUAAAUUUGGGGGUUUUGUAACAAUUUCACUCUUCUGCAAUCAAUUGAAAUAAAUUUUCUCCUUUGAUUUCUGUUUGUUCUUUCACUCACCUGCAAUGAUUCUACCAGAAAUGUUUUAAUCAGUAAAGAUAUAGCUUGAAUUUUUAUACUUAACCCAAAUUUACAUGUCAAAAUAAAAAAUGAAAACAAUAAAAAAAACUAUGCAUGCCUCUCCAUCUACACAUUAAUGGCAAAAGUGCAAGAUAUAGAAAGCAUGGCUUGAGUGCUGUGUGUGUACUGAUUAUUUCAUACAUAUGUACUCUUUAAACUUUAUCUAUGUAGAGAAAUAAAUUCUAAGAUUACUGCUCUUUCUCAAAUAAUAAAAAGCUCAAGAACUGCUAAUCACAGGAAUAAAAAAAUCCCUAUAUAAUAUUUCAUUAGUGAUAUUUUCAGCCCGAGUGCUUCUAUUACCUAUAUUUUUUGGUAAGUAUAUUUUUAUAUAGUUAUUUACGGAAUAUCUGAUUUACUAUAAUAAUAAAUUUGUGUUAACAAAAAGUUUAAAUAUUGAAUGCAUUAAAUAAAAUCUAGUUACUUGUCUAGGAAAUUUUCAAAGCAAAACUUACUCAAAUAUUAGUUGACAUUGUGAAAAUAGUUCUGAACAUAAUGUCUCAGACAUAACAUAAAACUUUUUAAAUGAAAGCGAGAAUUUAUGUCUAACAUGUAAAAUAAAUUGUGUCAGUAUUAGAAUAGUAUUUUGACCUUGAACAGAAAUAUAUCUGUAAUAAUCAUCACUAUGUUGCCAAAAUGAGAGAAAAUAACACUAUAUAAAUACUUAAUCAAACAGUGCUUUAUCUUUUCAUCUAAUAAUAUAGAUAUACCCCUAAAAUUUACCAUUCUAAGAAUGUGUACAUGAUGUAUUACUAGCCAUAUAAAAAUAAUUGUGGUGGGCAUUUUUGAGGGGUCGUUUUAGAACUUUUCAAAAUUCCCCUGAGAAUAUUUUGUUAGAAUAGGUGCCAUAUAUUUUUAGAAUCUUGAUUUGGGAGCAAUUUCAAUAUAAGUAUUUCUAGUUAUUUAAAACGAAUAAUUUUAAAAAGAACAGCAGUAAGGCAAGAAAUAAAAGGUUAAAAACUUUUAGAUUUUUAUUUAAGACAGUUAAUGUACAUUACAGUCACAUAGCACGUAAUGAAGUUUCAGUCAAUAAUCCACUGCAUAUAGGAUGGUGGUUCCAUAAGAUUGUAAUGGAGCUGUAAAAUUUCUGCCCUCUAGUGAUGCUGUAGCCAUCACAACUUCAUAGGACGACACAUUACUUACAUGUUUGUGGUGAUGCUGGUGUAAAUGAACCUACCUUCAUAAAUGUAUAGCACAUAUAAUUAUGUAUAGUAUGUAAUACUUAAUAAUGAUUAUAAACUACCAUGUUACUGGUUUAUGUAUUUACUCUACUAUACUUUUAUAGUUAUUUUAGGUAUUCCUUCUACUUAAAAAAUAAAAAUAAAGUUAAGUGUAAAAGAUCCUCAGGCUGGUUCCUUAGGGAGAUAUUCCAGAAGAAAGCAUUGUUAUCAUAGGAGAUGACAGCUCCACACAUGUUGUCCAACAUGACCUUUCAGUGGGCAAGAUGUGGAGGUUGAAGACAAUGAUAUUGAUGAUCCCGAUUCUGUGUAGGCCCAGUCUAACAUGUGUGUUUGUGUUUUCAUUUUUAACAAAAUGUUUUAAAAGUAAAGAAAAUAACAAUUAAAAUUGAGGCGGGUGGAUCAUCUGAGGUCAGGAGUUUGAGAGCAGCCUGGCCAACAUGGCAAAACCUCGUCUCUACUAAAAAUACAAAAAAAAAAAAAAAAAAAAAAAUUAGCCAGGUGUGGUGGCAUGCACCUAUAGUCCCAGCUACUCAUGAGACUGAGGCAGGAGAAUCACUUCAAUCCAGGAGGAUGAGGUUGCAGUGAGCCGAGGUCCACCAUUGCACUCCAGCCAGGCUAACGAGCUAAACUACAUCAAA
RNAcentral lists this long non-coding RNA (4503 nucleotides) under Homo sapiens (human). RNAcentral's name for it is "HSALNT0373802". The record is from RNAcentral. Lineage: Eukaryota; Metazoa; Chordata; Mammalia; Primates; Hominidae.